RNAcentral lists this long non-coding RNA (711 nucleotides) under Homo sapiens (human). RNAcentral describes it as "non-protein coding LRRC75A-AS1:64". The record is from RNAcentral. Lineage: Eukaryota; Metazoa; Chordata; Mammalia; Primates; Hominidae.
UGGUAGGGCCACAUCUGCCAGAGCCUGGAGUCUGCGAAGGCCGGGACCCGGUUCCCCGGCCCACAGUGGGGGUGUGCAAACCCGAGAGAACUGGGUUGCAAAUUCGUGAAGAAUCAGCAUCAUGUUUGGCAGCUGAGUAUUGGAGCCAGGAGCCUGCCAUGAGGUUUUGAGAACAGAGUGCUGUUUUAGAGCUGGCAGCAGCAUCUCAGCCCAAGAGAAGCCGAUGCAGCCUCAGUGUUCCUUUGCCUUGGGGGUUUCUGAGUGGUGGGGUUGUAAGCAGAUCCUGCCAGGCACCCAGAAGGAAACCUCAUCAGGACUCCCUCAGAAAGGCCCUGAAGAAUCCUGUGACCUUCAUCUAAAGUAGGUCAUGAGACCCCUGAGCUUAAAACGGAGUGAUCGGCUUUGGAGAAGUAAGGAGACAUGACGUGCCUGCCCUGGGGUGGGGACUAAACUUCGUGCCACUCCACGUGAAAGGGGGAGGCAUGACUCCACAGUUUCUGCAACAACAGAGCCGGGGAAAGGAGGACGCAGCAAGCGCUGAAUAUUAACCAGCAAAGGUAGAUGCUUCAAUAUCGAAACCACCGGGACCCGCAUGUGCAAAGCUACUUAAUGAGGGUGUAAUCAAACACAGUCUACCAGAAGGAAAUUAAUUAGAGUCCGGAGAGCAAGCAGGAAGCAGAACCAGGCUGCUCCCCCUCCUGGCUCUAGAAC